This 443-nucleotide ribosomal RNA is filed under the name uncultured bacterium. RNAcentral describes it as "partial 16S ribosomal RNA". It matches the Rfam family "Bacterial small subunit ribosomal RNA", at positions 338 to 795 of the family's 1533-position model. The record is from RNAcentral.
CCUACGGGAGGCUGCAGUGGGGGAUAUUGGUCAAUGGGGGCAACCCUGAUCCAGCGACGUCGCGUGAGUGAAGAAGUCUCUCGGUAUGUAAAGCUUCAUCAGCAGGGAAGUAAGAAAUGACGGUACCUGCGUAAGAAGCCUCGGCUAACUACGUGCCAGCAGCAGCGGUAAUACGGAGGAGGCAAGCGUUAUCCGGAAUUACUGGGUGUAAAGGGAGCGUAGACGGUAAUGCAAGUCAGGAGUGAAAGGCUGCGGCUCAACCGUCGGAUUGCACUGGAUACUGGGUAACUUGAGUGCAGGUGAGGCAGGCGGAAGUCGUGGUGUAGCGGUGAAAUGCUUAGAUAUUAGGAAGAACUCCGAUGGCGAAGGCAGCCUGCUAGACUGCAACUGACAUUGAUGCUCGAAAGCGUGGGGAUCAAACAGGAUUAGAUACCCGGGUAGUC